GGUAGCUUAACCUUCGGGAGGGCGCUUACCACUUUGUGAUUCAUGACUGGGGUGAAGUCGUAACAAGGUAACCGUAGGGGAACCUGCGGUUGGAUCACCUCCUUACCUUAAAGAAGCGUUCUUUGCAGUGCUCACACAGAUUGUCUGAU
This 149-nucleotide ribosomal RNA is filed under the name Escherichia coli. RNAcentral describes it as "partial 16S ribosomal RNA". The stretch from base 1 to 105 matches the Rfam family "Bacterial small subunit ribosomal RNA", at positions 1429 to 1533 of the family's 1533-position model. Lineage: Bacteria; Pseudomonadati; Pseudomonadota; Gammaproteobacteria; Enterobacterales; Enterobacteriaceae. The record is from RNAcentral.